This 73-nucleotide transfer RNA is filed under the name Brachystegia kennedyi. RNAcentral describes it as "tRNA-Gly". The stretch from base 1 to 54 matches the Rfam family "tRNA", at positions 18 to 71 of the family's 71-position model. Rfam says of the family: Transfer RNA (tRNA) molecules are approximately 80 nucleotides in length. The record is from RNAcentral. Lineage: Eukaryota; Viridiplantae; Streptophyta; Magnoliopsida; Fabales; Fabaceae.
GUAAAAUUUCUCUUUGCCAAGGAGAAGACGCGGGUUCAAUUCCCGCUAUCCGCCCCCCCCCUUUUUUUAUUUC